AACGUAGGACACAAGCGUUAUCCGGAUUUACUGGGCGUAAAGCGUGUGCAGGCGGGGAGACAAGUGGUGUAUGAAAUUUCCCGGCUUAACCGGGAAGGGUAUGCCAGACUGUCUUUCGUGGAGUGCGAGAGAGGGGCGUGGAAUUCCGGGUGUAGUGGUGAAAUGCGUAGAGAUCCGGAGGAACCCCAGAGGCGAAGGCGGCUUUCUGGACGGUAACUGACGCUGAGACGGCGAAAGCGUGGGGAGCAAACAGG
RNAcentral lists this ribosomal RNA (254 nucleotides) under uncultured bacterium. RNAcentral describes it as "partial 16S ribosomal RNA". It matches the Rfam family "Bacterial small subunit ribosomal RNA", at positions 524 to 776 of the family's 1533-position model. The record is from RNAcentral.